RNAcentral lists this ribosomal RNA (292 nucleotides) under uncultured eukaryote. RNAcentral describes it as "partial 18S ribosomal RNA". It matches the Rfam family "Eukaryotic small subunit ribosomal RNA", at positions 6 to 296 of the family's 1831-position model. The record is from RNAcentral.
GGUUGAUCCUGCCAGUAGUCAUAUGCUUGUCUCAAAGAUUAAGCCAUGCAUGUCUAAGUAUAAACAAAUCUAUACUGUGAAACUGCGAAUGGCUCAUUAAAUCAGUUAUAGUUUAUUUGAUAAUACCUACUACUUGGAUAACCGUGGUAAUUCUAGAGCUAAUACAUGCACAAAAGCCCAACCGUAUGGAAGGGCUGUAUUUAUUAGAUACAAAACCAAUGCGGGGCAACCCGGUUCUUUGGUGAUUCAUAAUAACUUCGCGAAUCGCAUGGCCUUGUGCUGGCGAUGAUUC